CGGACGGGUGAGUACGCGUGGACUAACCUGCCGUAUACUGGGGGAUAACACUUAGAAAUAGGUGCUAAUACCGCAUAAGCGCACAGUCUCGCAUGAGACGGUGUGAAAAACUCCGGUGGUAUACGAUGGAUCCGCGUCUGAUUAGCUUGUUGGCGGGGUAACAGCCCACCAAGGCGACGAUCAGUAGCCGGCCUGAGAGGGUGAACGGCCACAUUGGGACUGAGACACGGCCCAAACUCCUACGGAAGGCAGCAG
RNAcentral lists this ribosomal RNA (255 nucleotides) under uncultured bacterium. RNAcentral's name for it is "partial 16S ribosomal RNA". It matches the Rfam family "Bacterial small subunit ribosomal RNA", at positions 99 to 354 of the family's 1533-position model. The record is from RNAcentral.